GGAUGAACGCUGGCGGCGUGCUUAACCCCUGCAAGUCGAACGAUGAAGCCCAGCUUGCUGGGUGGAUUAGUGGCGAACGGGUGAGUAACACGUGAGUAACCUGCCCUUAACUCUGGGAUAAGCCUGGGAAACUGGGUCUAAUACCGGAUAGGAGCGUCCACCGCAUGGUGGGUGUUGGAAAGAUUUAUCGGUUUUGGAUGGACUCGCGGCCUAUCAGCUUGUUGGUGAGGUAAUGGCUCACCAAGGCGACGACGGGUAGCCGGCCUGAGAGGGUGACCGGCCACACUGGGACUGAGACACGGCCCAGACUCCUACGGGAGGCAGCAGUGGGGAAUAUUGCACAAUGGGCGCAAGCCUGAUGCAGCGACGCCGCGUGAGGGAUGACGGCCUUCGGGUUGUAAACCUCUUUCAGUAGGGAAGAAGCGAAAGUGACGGUACCUGCAGAAGAAGCACCGGCUAACUACGUG
Molecule: ribosomal RNA, 467 nt
Filed under: uncultured bacterium
Lineage: Bacteria
Description: partial 16S ribosomal RNA
Rfam family: Bacterial small subunit ribosomal RNA
Source: RNAcentral